RNAcentral lists this ribosomal RNA (1157 nucleotides) under human gut metagenome. RNAcentral describes it as "bacterial LSU rRNA". It matches the Rfam family "Bacterial large subunit ribosomal RNA", at positions 797 to 1980 of the family's 2925-position model. The record is from RNAcentral.
UGCGGGGAUGAGCUGUGGAUAGCGGAGAAAUUCCAAUCGAACUCGGAGAUAGCUGGUUCUCCCCGAAAUAGCUUUAGGGCUAGCCUCGUUUUAAAUUACCGGGGGUAGAGCACUGAAUGGGCUAGGGGGCCACAAAGCUUACCGAACCCUAUCAAACUUCGAAUACCGGAUAAUUGAUGAUCGGGAGUCAGACAGUGUGAGAUAAGUUUCAUUGUCGAAAGGGAAACAGCCCAGAUCUACGACUAAGGUCCCAAAGUUCAAGUUAAGUGGAAAAGGAUGUGCAAUUGCGUAGACAACCAGGAUGUUGGCUUAGUAGCAGCCAUUCAUUCAAAGAGUGCGUAAUAGCUCACUGGUCGAGUGAUUGUGCGCCGAAAAUGUAACGGGGCUAAACUUGACACCGAAGUCUAGGCAGAAGUAAACUUCUGGGUAGGGGAGCAACGUGUACGGGCAGAAGCAGAAGCGGAAGCGACUGUGGACUGUACAGGAGAGAGAAUGCCGGCAUGAGUAGCGAGAGCAAAGUGAGAAUCUUUGCCGUCGAAAGCCUAAGGUUUCCUGAGGAAGGCUCGUCCUCUCAGGGUAAGUCGGGACCUAAGCCGAGGACAAUAGUCGUAGGCGAUGGACAAUCGGUUAAUAUUCCGAUACCGCCGAGCAACCGGAUGCAGUGACACAGAAGGAUAGGCAGAGCGUGGCGAUGGUAGACCACGUCCAAGCAGUGAGGCUGUUGUGUAGUGAAGUACGCACAACGGAAGGCUGGGCUGUGAUGGGGAACGAUUACGAUCGGUAAGCUGCUGAAUUCACGCUGGCGAGAAAAGCUGCUACGAAGCGAAGGCGCCCGUACCGCAAACCGACACAGGUAGGCGAGGAGAGAAUCCUAAGACGAGCGGGAGAACCCUUGUUAAGGAACUCGGCAAAAUGACUCCGUAACUUAGGGAGAAGGAGUGCCCAGGAAUGGGCCGCAGAGAAUAGACCCAAGCGACUGUUUACCAAAAACACAGGUCUGUGCGAAGUAGAGAUACGACGUAUACGGGCUGACACCUGCCCAGUGCCGGAAGGUUAAGGGGAAAUGUUAGGGCAACCGAAGCAUGGAACUUAAGCCCCGGUGAACGGCGGCCGUAACUAUAACGGUCCUAAGGUAGCGAAAUUCCUUGUCGGGUAAG